UACGUAGGGUGCAGGCGUUAAUCGGAAUUACUGGGCGUAAAGCGUGCGCAGGCGGUCUUUUAAGUCAGAUGUGAAAUCCCCGGGCUUAACCUGGGAACUGCGUUUGAAACUGGAAGGCUAGAGGGUGGCAGAGGGGGGUGGAAUUCCACGUGUAGCAGUGAAAUGCGUAGAGAUGUGGAGGAACACCGAUGGCGAAGGCAGCCCCCUGGGCUAACACUGACGCUCAGGCACGAAAGCGUGGGGAGCAAACAGG
Molecule: unclassified non-coding RNA, 253 nt
Filed under: uncultured Gammaproteobacteria bacterium
Lineage: Bacteria; Pseudomonadati; Pseudomonadota; Gammaproteobacteria
Description: contains 16S-23S intergenic spacer region
Rfam family: Bacterial small subunit ribosomal RNA
Source: RNAcentral